This 376-nucleotide ribosomal RNA is filed under the name uncultured organism. Its description in RNAcentral is "partial 16S ribosomal RNA". It matches the Rfam family "Bacterial small subunit ribosomal RNA", at positions 527 to 897 of the family's 1533-position model. The record is from RNAcentral.
GUAGGGUCCGAGCGUUAUCCGGAAUCAUUGGGGCGUAAAGAGCUCGUAGGCGGUUCAGCAAGUCGGCUGUGAAAGUUCGAGGCUCAACCUCGAAAUUGCAGUCGAUACUGCUGUGACUUGAAUUCGGUAGAGGAGAAUGGAAUUCCCGGUGUAGCGGUGAAAUGCGCAGAUAUCGGGAGGAACACCAGUAGCGAAGGCGGUUCUCUGGGCCGAUAUUGACGCUGAGGAGCGAAAGCGUGGGGAGCAAACAGGAUUAGAUACCCUGGUAGUCCACGCCGUAAACGUUGGAUGCUAGGUGUGGCGGUCUACCAACGACUGCCGUGCCGAAGCUAACGCAUUAAGCAUCCCGCCUGGGGAGUACGGCCGCAAAGGCUAA